Molecule: ribosomal RNA, 419 nt
Filed under: uncultured Prevotella sp.
Lineage: Bacteria; Pseudomonadati; Bacteroidota; Bacteroidia; Bacteroidales; Prevotellaceae
Description: bacterial SSU rRNA
Rfam family: Bacterial small subunit ribosomal RNA
Source: RNAcentral
GGAAUAUUGGUCAAUGGGCGUGAGCCUGAACCAGCCAAGUAGCGUGCAGGACGACGGCCCUAUGGGUUGUAAACUGCUUUUAUGCGGGGAUAAAGUUCGGCACGUGUGCCGUUUUGUAGGUACCGCAUGAAUAAGGACCGGCUAAUUCCGUGCCAGCAGCCGCGGUAAUACGGAAGGUCCGGGCGUUAUCCGGAUUUAUUGGGUUUAAAGGGAGCGCAGGCCGGAGGUCAAGCGUGACGUGAAAUGUAGCCGCUCAACGGCUGAGUUGCGUCGCGAACUGGUUUCCUUGAGUGAGUACGACGUCAGCGGAAUUCGUGGUGUAGCGGUGAAAUGCGUAGAUAUCACGAAGAACUCCGAUUGCGCAGGCAGCCUUCCAGUCCGUUACUGACGCUAAAGCUCGAAGGUGCGGGUAUCGAACA